RNAcentral lists this ribosomal RNA (429 nucleotides) under Gemmatimonadota bacterium. RNAcentral describes it as "Gemmatimonadetes bacterium partial 16S ribosomal RNA". It matches the Rfam family "Bacterial small subunit ribosomal RNA", at positions 355 to 776 of the family's 1533-position model. Lineage: Bacteria; Pseudomonadati; Gemmatimonadota. The record is from RNAcentral.
UAGGGAAUCUUCGGCAAUGGACGAAAGUCUGACCGAGCAACGCCGCGUGCGUGAAGAAGGUUUUCGGAUCGUAAAACUCUGUUGUUAGAGAAGAACAAGGACGUUAGUAACUGCACGUCCCCUGACGGUAUCUAACCAGAAAGCCACGGCUAACUACGUGCCAGCAGCCGCGGUAAUACGUAGGUGGCAAGCGUUGUCCGGAUUUAUUGGGCGUAAAGCGAGCGCAGGCGGUUUCUUAAGUCUGAUGUGAAAGCCCCCGGCUCAACCGGGGAGGGUGAUUGGAAACUGGGAGACUUGAGUGCAGAAGAGGAGAGUGGAAUUCCAUGUGUAGCGGUGAAAUGCGUAGAUAUAUGGAGGAACACCAGUGGCGAAGGCGGCUCUCUGGUCUGUAACUGACGCUGAGGCUAGAAAGCGUGGGGAGCAAACAGG